CAGGCCUCCCUCUGCUUGGUUCCAGUCGUGGUCAUGAGUGAGGGGCGAUGCUUGAUGGCUUUGAUGCCAUCGGUGGGAAUGCGUUUAAGCAUCGACCUUCCCUUAUGCCCACGAUGGUCUACAGUCUUGGGUAUGAGUCAGUGACGAUGCUUGUUUGUUUUGAUGCUUGCGAAUGAACCUGCUUGAGCAACCGACCCGAUGAAGUAUCAAUGAAUGUCGCCCACGAUGGUCUACAGUCUUGGGUAUGAGUCAGUGACGAUGCUUGUUUGUUUUGAUGCUUGCGUUUGAACUUGCUUAAGCAACCGACCCGACGAAGUACCCGUGAAUGUCGCCUACGAUGGUCUACAGUCUUGGGUAUGAGUCAGUGACGAUGCUUGUUUGUUUUGAUGCUUGCGUUUGAACUUGCUUAAGCAACCGAUCCGACGAAGUACCCAUGAAUGUCGCCCACGAUGGUCUACAGUCUUGGGUAUGAGUCAGUGACGAUGCUUGUUUGUUUUGAUGCUUGCGUUUGAACUUGCUUAAGCAACCGAACCGACGAAGUACCCGUGAAUGUCGCCCACGAUGGUCUACAGUCUUGGGUAUGAGUCAGUGACGAUGCUUGUUUGUUUUGAUGCUUGCGUUUGAACUUGCUUAAGCAACCGACCCGACGAAGUACCCGUGAAUGUCGCCCACGAUGGUCUACAGUCAUGGGUAUGAGUCAGUGACGAUGCUUGUUUGUUUUGAUGCUUGCGUUUGAACUUGCUUAAGCAACCGACCUGACGAAGUACCCGUGAAUGUUUUUUUGUUCCUGCGGUAACGACUUUGUUGGGAUCAUUGUGAUCAAGUUUGGUUGGUUUCGUAUUGUGGUGGGUUUUUUCGAAGCUUCUGUCGUUUUUUUACGCAUCGUGCGGUGCAUCUUGGGGGCUGUUUUGGCUUUUGGUUGCUUGCUUGGGCUUUAUGCUAGGCGGGUGGCUAAU
Molecule: unclassified non-coding RNA, 956 nt
Filed under: Espeletia cristalinensis
Lineage: Eukaryota; Viridiplantae; Streptophyta; Magnoliopsida; Asterales; Asteraceae
Description: Espeletiopsis cristalinensis partial external transcribed spacer
Source: RNAcentral